UGGGGAAUCUUGCACAAUGGGGGAAACCCUGAUGCAGCGAUGCCGCGUGAGUGAAGAAGGCCCUUGGGUUGUAAAGCUCUUUCGUCGGGGAAGAAAAUGGCCGGAUUAAUACCCCGGGUUUUUGACGUUACCUGCAGAAGAAGCACCGGCUAACUCCGUGCCAGCAGCCGCGGUAAUACGGAGGGUGCAAGCGUUAAUCGGAAUUACUGGGCGUAAAGCGCGCGUAGGCGGUCUGGUCAGUCAGAUGUGAAAGCCCCGGGCUCAACCUGGGAAUUGCAUUUGAUACUGCCAGACUCGAGUGUGGUAGAGGGAAGUGGAAUUCCGAGUGUAGCGGUGAAAUGCGUAGAUAUCAGGAGGAACACCAAUGGCGAAGGCAGCUUUCUGGCUCGAUACUGACGCUGAGGGACGAAAGCGUGGGGAGCGAACAGG
Molecule: ribosomal RNA, 429 nt
Filed under: uncultured bacterium
Lineage: Bacteria
Description: bacterial SSU rRNA
Rfam family: Bacterial small subunit ribosomal RNA
Source: RNAcentral